This 363-nucleotide RNase P RNA is filed under the name Actinomycetota bacterium. RNAcentral's name for it is "Actinobacteria bacterium RNase P RNA component class A". It matches the Rfam family "Bacterial RNase P class A". From Rfam's summary of the family: Ribonuclease P (RNase P) is a ubiquitous endoribonuclease, found in archaea, bacteria and eukarya as well as chloroplasts and mitochondria. The record is from RNAcentral. Lineage: Bacteria; Bacillati; Actinomycetota.
AGAGUCGCCCGGAUCACCGCGUUGUAACUAGUUUUCUAGUGACACCGAGGAAAGUCCGGACUCCGAAGAGCAAAGUGGUGGCUAACAGCCACCCGGAGCAAUCCGCGGGAUAAGUGCCACAGAAAAUAAACCGCCGUUAGCAAUAACGGUAAGGAUGAAACGGUGGUGUAAGAGACCACCAGCAAUUGCAGUGAUGUGAUUGGCUAGGUAAACCCCACUUGGAGCAAGACCAAAAAGAUGGCGCUUGAGAGCUGCUCGCUCGAGUCAUCAGGUAGGUUGCUUGAAUCUGUAAGCAAUUGCAGAUCUAGAUGGAUGGUGAUCGUCUCGCAAGAGAACAGGAUCCGGCUUAUAGGGCGACUCUUC